RNAcentral lists this ribosomal RNA (906 nucleotides) under Dimorphoma saxea. Its description in RNAcentral is "LSU rRNA". It matches the Rfam family "Eukaryotic large subunit ribosomal RNA", at positions 37 to 960 of the family's 3401-position model. Lineage: Eukaryota; Fungi; Ascomycota; Dothideomycetes; Pleosporales; Didymellaceae. The record is from RNAcentral.
AGCAUAUCAAUAAGCGGAGGAAAAGAAACCAACAGGGAUUGCCCUAGUAACGGCGAAGUGAAGCGGCAACAGCUCAAAUUUGAAAUCUGGCGUCUUUGGCGUCCGAGUUGUAAUUUGCAGAGGGCGCUUUGGCAUUGGCAGCGGUCCAAGUUCCUUGGAACAGGACGUCACAGAGGGUGAGAAUCCCGUACGUGGUCGCUAGCCUUUACCGUGUAAAGCCCCUUCGACGAGUCGAGUUGUUUGGGAAUGCAGCUCUAAAUGGGAGGUAAAUUUCUUCUAAAGCUAAAUACUGGCCAGAGACCGAUAGCGCACAAGUAGAGUGAUCGAAAGAUGAAAAGCACUUUGGAAAGAGAGUUAAAAAGCACGUGAAAUUGUUGAAAGGGAAGCGCUUGCAGCCAGACUUGCCUGUAGUUGCUCAUCCGGGUUUUUACCCGGUGCACUCUUCUGCGGGCAGGCCAGCAUCAGUUUGGGCGGUUGGAUAAAGGUCUCUGUCAUGUACCUCUCUUCGGGGAGGCCUUAUAGGGGAGGCGCAAUGCAACCAGCCCGGACUGAGGUCCGCGCAUCUGCUAGGAUGCUGGCGUAAUGGCUGUAAGCGGCCCGUCUUGAAACACGGACCAAGGAGUCUAACAUCUAUGCGAGUGUUUGGGUGUCAAGCCCGAACGCGUAAUGAAAGUGAACGGAGGUGGGAACCUUUCGGGGUGCACCAUCGACCGAUCCUGAUGUCUUCGGAUGGAUUUGAGUAAGAGCAUAGCUGUUGGGACCCGAAAGAUGGUGAACUAUGCUUGAAUAGGGUGAAGCCAGAGGAAACUCUGGUGGAGGCUCGCAGCGGUUCUGACGUGCAAAUCGAUCGUCAAAUUUGGGCAUAGGGGCGAAAGACUAAUCGAACUAUCUAGUAGCUGGUCUGCG